Molecule: ribosomal RNA, 229 nt
Filed under: uncultured bacterium
Lineage: Bacteria
Description: partial 16S ribosomal RNA
Rfam family: Bacterial small subunit ribosomal RNA
Source: RNAcentral
UGCGUAGGCGGAUUGUUAAGUCAGUGGUGAAAGUCUGCGGCUCAACCGUAGAAGUGCCAUUGAUACUGGCAGUCUUGAGUACAGUAGAGGUAGGCGGAAUUUAUGGUGUAGCGGUGAAAUGCAUAGAUACCAUAAAGAACACCUAUAGCGAAGGCAGCUUACUAUACUGUAACUGAUGCUGAGGCACGAAAGCGUGGGGAGCGAACAGGAUUAGAUACCCUGGUAGUCC